UGGGGAAUAUUACACAAUGGGCGAAAGCCUGAUGCAGCGACGCCGCGUGAGGGAUGACGGCCUUCGGGUUGUAAACCUCUUUCAGUAGGGACGAAGCGCAAGUGACGGUACCUGCAGAAGAAGCACCGGCUAACUACGUGCCAGCAGCCGCGGUAAUACGUAGGGUGCGAGCGUUGUCCGGAAUUACUGGGCGUAAAGAGCUCGUAGGCGGUUUGUCACGUCGUCUGUGAAAUCCUAGGGCUUAACCCUGGACGUGCAGGCGAUACGGGCUGACUUGAGUACUACAGGGGAGACUGGAAUUUCUGGUGUAGCGGUGGAAUGCACAGAUAUCAGGAAGAACACCGAUGGCGAAGGCAGGUCUCUGGGUAGUAACUGACGCUGAGGAGCGAAAGCAUGGGUAGCGAACAGG
Molecule: ribosomal RNA, 409 nt
Filed under: bacterium
Lineage: Bacteria
Description: partial 16S ribosomal RNA
Rfam family: Bacterial small subunit ribosomal RNA
Source: RNAcentral